GUCGAGAAUCUUCCGCAAUGCGCGAAAGCGUGACGGAGCGACACCGCGUGAUGGAUGAAGUCCUUCGGGGCGUAAACAUCUUUUAUAAAGGAGGAAAUUUUUGACGUUACUUUAUGAAUAAGGGGCUCCCAAUCUCGUGCCAGCAGGAGCGGUAAUACGAGAGCCUCAAGCGUUAUCCGGAAUCAUUGGGCGUAAAGGGUGCGUAGGUGGCUGGAUUAGUCUCCCGUUAAAACUUCGAGCUUAACUCGAAAAGAGCGGGGGAAACGGUCAAACUAGAGUAUGUGAGAGGUGUGUGGAACUCAUGGUGUAGGGGUGAAAUCCGUUGAUAUCAUGGGGAACACCAAAAGCGAAGGCAGCACACUGGCACAUCACUGACACUGAGGCACGAAACCUAAGGUAGCGAAUGGGAUUAGUUACCCGGGUAGUCC
Molecule: ribosomal RNA, 428 nt
Filed under: uncultured bacterium
Lineage: Bacteria
Description: partial 16S ribosomal RNA
Rfam family: Bacterial small subunit ribosomal RNA
Source: RNAcentral